RNAcentral lists this ribosomal RNA (2920 nucleotides) under Halosimplex litoreum. RNAcentral describes it as "23S ribosomal RNA". It matches the Rfam family "Archaeal large subunit ribosomal RNA". Lineage: Archaea; Methanobacteriati; Methanobacteriota; Halobacteria; Halobacteriales; Haloarculaceae. The record is from RNAcentral.
CUAACGUGGCUGCUAUGCCACCUGGUGAAUAGCUCGGCUCGAGAGCCGACGAAGGACGUGCCAAGCUGCGAUAAGCCUGCGGGAGCUGCAUGGAAGCGAAGAACGCAGGAUAUCCGAAUGGGAAUCCCCACCGCAAUUGCUUCGCGCAAUGGGGAACGCCGGGAAUUGAAACAUCUUAGUACCGGUCGGAAAAGAAAUCAAGUGAGAUAUCGUCAGUAACCGCGAGUGAACGCGAUACAGCCCAAACUGAAGGCUUCGGCCGAUGUGGUGUAUUGGGCCGGCGAUCAUCGUCGGAACACUUCUGUGAAGUCUCCUGGAACGGAGCGUGACACAGGGUGAAAACCCCGUAACAGAAGCUAGUAUGACGUGAGCCGGUUCCGGAGUAGCGGGGGUUGGAAAUCCCUCGUGAAUACGGCAGGCAUCUACUGCCAAGGCUAAAUACUCCUCGAGACCGAUAGCGAACAAGUAGCGCGAGCGAACGCUGAAAAGUACCCUCAGAAGGGAGGCGAAACAGGGCUUGAAAUCAGGUGGCGAUGGAGCGACGGGGCAUGAAAGGCCCCUCCGAAAACGACCUGCCCGCGAGGGCACAGUAGGACCGGAGGGGAGCCGAUGUUCCGUCGUACGUUUUGAAAAACGAACCAGGGAGUGUGCUUGUUUGGCGAGUCUAACCGGUUCAUCCGGGAAGGCACAGGGAAACCGACAUGGCCGCAGCGCUUUGCGUGAGGGCCGCCGUGUUCAAGCGCGGGGAGUCAAACGGGCACGACCCGAAACCGGACGAUCUACGCGUGGGCAAGACGAAGCGUGCCGAAAGGCACGUGGAGGUCUGCUAGUGUUGGUGUUUUACAACACCCUCACGUGACCUACGUGUAGGGGUGAAAGGCCCAUCGAGUUCGGCAACAGCUGGUUCCGACCGACAAAUGUCGAAGCAUUACCCCUGUCGAGGUAGUUCGUGGGGUAGAGAGACUGAUUGCGCGGACCGCCCUCGAGAGAGGUCGGCCGUGCUGUCAAACUCCGAACCUACGAACGCCGUCGACGCAGGGAGUUCGGUGCGCGGGGUAAGCCUGUGUACCGUGAGGGAGACAACCCAGAGUCGGGUUAAGGUCCCCAAGUGUGGACUAAGUGCGAUCGAAGGUGGUCUCAAGCCCUAGACAGCCGGGAGGUGAGCUUAGAAGCAGCUACCCUCCAAGAAAAGCGUAACAGCUUACCGGCCGAGGUUUGAGGCGCCCAAAAUGAUCGGGGCUCAAGUCCACCACCGAUACCUGACCACGCCCGUAACACGGCGAUUGUGUAGGUCGGCGUUCUGGUCGGAUGGAAGCACGGGCGAGAGCUCGCGUGGACCGACUAGAAACGAAAAUCCUGGUCAUAGUAGCAGCGAAAGUCGGGUUGAAAUCCUGACGGCCAAAAGGGCAAGGGUUCCUCAGCACUGUUCGUCAGCUGAGGGUUAGCCGGUCCUAAGACCCAUCGUAACUCGCGUAGGUCGAAAUGGGAAACAGGUUAAUAUUCCUGUGCCACCGUCCACUCAAAGUCGACGCCUUGGGGUAGACCGAGCCGGGCCAUCGCCCGGUCGAACCGUCCAACUCCGUGGAAGCCGUAAUGGCACGAAGCGGACGAACGGCGGGAUAGAGCAAUUCGGUUCAACCUGGGGCCCGUGAAAAGACGAGGACGUGUCCGUACCGAGCACCGACACAGGUGCCCAUGGCGGAGAAAGCCUAGGCCUGUCGGGAACAACCGACGUUAGGGAAUUCGGCAAUCUAGUCCCGUACCUUCGGAAGAAGGGAUGCCUGCCUCGGGAAGAGGCAGGUCGCAGUGACUUGGAGGCUCCGACUGUCUAGUAACAACAUAGGUGACCGCAAAUCCGCAAGGACUCGUACGGUCACUGAAUCCUGCCCAGUGCGGGUAUCUGAACACCUGGUACAACAGGACGAAGGACCCGUUAACGGCGGGGGUAACUAUGACCCUCUUAAGGUAGCGUAGUACCUUGUCGCUUCAGUAGCGACUCGCAUGAAUGGAUUAACGAGAGCCUCGCUGUCCCAACGUUGGGCCCGGUGAACUGUACGUUCCAGUGCGGAGUCUGGAGACCCCCAAGGGGAAGCGAAGACCCUAUAGAGCUUUACUGCAGGCUGUCGCUGGGACGUGGUCGCUACUGUGCAGUGUAGGUAGGAGCCGUUACAGAGGUACCCGCGCUAGCGGGCCACCCAGGCACCCAUGAAACACUACCCGGUAGUGACUGCGACCCUCACUCCUGGCGGAGGACACCGGUAGCCGGGCAGUUUGACUGGGGCGGUACGCGCUUGAAAAGAUAUCGAGCGCGCCCCAAGUCCAUCUCAGCCGUGUCGGAAACGCGGCGAAGAGUGCAAAAGCAAAAGAUGGACUGACAGUGUUCUUCCCAACGAGGAACGCUGACGUGAAAGCGUGGUUUAGCGAACCAAUUCGCCCGCUCGAUGCGGGCCAUUGCUGACAGAAAAGCUACCUUAGGGAUAACAGAGUCGUCACUCGCAAGAGUACAUAUCGACCGAGUGGCUUGCUACCUCGAUGUCGGUUCCCUCCAUCCUGCCCGUGCAGAAGCGGGCAAGGGUGAGGUUGUUCGCCUAUUAAAGGAGGUCGUGAGCUGGGUUUAGACCGUCGCGAGACAGGUCGGCUGCUAUCUAUUGGGGGUGUCAUUGGUAUCUGACGGGAACGUCCGUAUAGUACGAGAGGAACUACGGAUGGUGGCCACUGGUGUACCGGUCGUCCGAGAGGGCGCUGCCGGGCAGCCACGCCACGCGGGGUAACGGCUGAACGCAUCUAAGCCGGAAACCCACCUGGAAAAGAGAUACCGCAGAGGUCACUCGUAGAAGACGAGUUCGAUAGACUCGGGGUGUGCGCACCGAGGCAACGAGGUGUUCAGCCCGCGAGUACUAAUCGACCGAAGCCACCAAUC